AACGUACGCUGGCGGCGUGGAUAAGACAUGCAAGUCGAACGGGACAAGUUUAGUAGCAAUACCGAGCUUGUCUAGUGGCGCAAGGGUGCGUAACACGUGGGCAAUCUACCGAGAAGUGGGGGAUAGCUCGCCGAAAGGCGAAUUAAUACCGCAUGUGGCCGGGAAGGGCAUCCUUCCCACGUCAAAGCUGGGGAUCUUCGGACCUGGCGCUUCUUGAUGAGCCCGCGGCCUAUCAGCUUGUUGGUGAGGUAAUGGCUCACCAAGGCUAUGACGGGUAACUGGCCUGAGAGGGUAUACAGUCACACUGGAACUGAGACACGGUCCAGACACCUACGGGUGGCAGCAGUCGAGAAUCAUUCGCAAUGGGGGAAACCCUGACGGUGCGACGCCGCGUGGAGGAUGAAGGUCUUAGGAUCGUAAACUCCUGUCAUGAGGGAGCAAAGCUUCGAAGUUAAUAACUACUGAAGUCUGAUAGUACCUCAAGAGGAAGAGACGGCUAACUCUGUGCCAGCAGCCGCGGUAAUACAGGGGUCUCAAGCGUUGUUCGGAUUCAUUGGGCGUAAAGGGAGCGUAGGCGGUGCUGUAAGUCGGAUGUGAAAUCCCGGGGCUCAACCUCGGAACUGCAUUCGAUACUGCAGUGC
This 641-nucleotide ribosomal RNA is filed under the name uncultured bacterium. Its description in RNAcentral is "bacterial SSU rRNA". It matches the Rfam family "Bacterial small subunit ribosomal RNA", at positions 28 to 641 of the family's 1533-position model. The record is from RNAcentral.